RNAcentral lists this unclassified non-coding RNA (250 nucleotides) under plant metagenome. RNAcentral describes it as "partial contains small subunit ribosomal RNA, internal transcribed spacer 1, and 5.8S ribosomal RNA". The record is from RNAcentral.
GUAGGUGAACCUGCGGAGGGAUCAUUAACACUAUUUGGCUUUGUCAUCAUGUUUCACGAUAUGACGUCAAAGUUCAAAUUUCCACACACAUUGCAAAUGAGUUGGUUACUUCCGUAAAAAAGAAGUAACUGGCCUUUACAUAACUGCCUCGAGGGUAAGGUUGCUGACGCGACGAGUGAACGCUUUCUUUCGGGAAAACGUAGCUCCGCAUCCGUCCCUCGACGUGGUUUUUUUGGGAGAUGUGACACUC